This 497-nucleotide ribosomal RNA is filed under the name uncultured bacterium. RNAcentral describes it as "partial 16S ribosomal RNA". It matches the Rfam family "Bacterial small subunit ribosomal RNA", at positions 28 to 507 of the family's 1533-position model. The record is from RNAcentral.
GAUGAACGCUGGCGGCGUGCCUAAUACAUGCAAGUCGAGCGAACAGACGAGGAGCUUGCUCCUCUGACGUUAGCGGCGGACGGGUGAGUAACACGUGGAUAACCUACCUAUAAGACUGGGAUAACUUCGGGAAACCGGAGCUAAUACCGGAUAUUAUAUUGAACCGCAUGGUUCAAUAGUGUAAGACGGUUUUGCUGUCACUUAUAGAUGGAUCCGCGCCGCAUUAGCUAGUUGGUAAGGUAACGGCUUACCAAGGCAACGAUGCGUAGCCGACCUGAGAGGGUGAUCGGCCACACUGGAACUGAGACACGGUCCAGACUCCUACGGGAGGCAGCAGUAGGGAAUCUUCCGCAAUGGGCGAAAGCCUGACGGAGCAACGCCGCGUGAGUGAUGAAGGUCUUCGGAUCGUAAAACUCUGUUAUUAGGGAAGAACAAAUGUGUAAGUAACUAUGCACGACUUGACGGUACCUAAUCAGAAAGCCACGGCUAACUACGUG